GUUUCAGAGGCAUCACUUCAAAACCUGCAAGAAUGAAAGUGACUGGCACUUUCCUCAACACCUGAGCAGGAAGGCUGACGACAUCCACUGACCGAUUUCUCUUCCGGGACUUCAACGGAGUGAUCUAAAAAUAGCAGACUAGAAGGAGUGCAGAAGUGCAGAAGGAGACGACCUUGAAGAUAAAUCAAAUUUUAAAAAGCUGAUCAUGGACCACAUUGGACGUAUCUUGACCCUUACCUCAACCAUCAAAAAGAUGGUUGACACUGUGAAGUCCAAUAAGGACAGCUGCAGACGGAUUGCAGACAGAGUCAAAGCUGUGGAAAGACUUGUUUUAACCAUCAGACAGAGUGAUCCAAGCCAAAUCUCUGAUGCUGUAACUGAAACUGUGGAGGAACUCUACACCAGCUUGAUUUCUGCCAAUGAUCUGAUAGAAAAAAUCUUUAAAUCUAAAUCUAGAAUUAAGGCUAUUAAGCGCUUCUUUAGUUCUGGCAGCAUUGAAAGAAAGUUAAACAGGGUAAAUCAAACGCUCACAGAGAACAUGCAGGUCCUUUCUAGUGCUCUGCAGAUUGAGCAGACCAACAUGCUGCAACAGGUGUAUGCAGCUGUUUCAAGACAUAAUACUGAGGAAGAGGUUUCCAGUAUGAUGGCUAAUACUAGUCUCACACCCCCUAUGCUUCCUCCUGCUACAGCAGCACUCCCCCUACAUCCUGAACUUCCUCCCACACCUCCACACCUGUGACCAGUCCUACAGCUUCUAUGCUUCCGCUGCUCCCUCAAACAAACACAAACACUCCCUCGGCAACCCCCUCAGACACACACACACACACACACACACACACACAGAGACAAAACAUAUUAAGGAUUGUACAUUAACAUCCUCUAUUGUAAAAAUUGUUGUCAGACAUAGAGAGAGAGAGAGACAGAAAAUGAGCCCUUCUAAUAGUUCAUAGAUGAGAAUAGGAGACAAAUCAACAAUACAGCUCUUCCAUAUUUUUCUUUUCUUUUUUUUAUCAUUUAGAAUUUACCCAAAACGAAAAUAUACAUAGUUUUAAAAAACAAGGGAACAUAAAAUAAAACACAACAUGUAUAAACAAGAAUAAGAAAAAAAAGGCAAGUGGUGUACCUACUAGUUAACAAAGUACACGAUGCUGGAUUACAGAGGUUCAAACAAAUUUGGGAGGCCUUGACAAAAUGUAAUGUUUCCAUUUGUCCCAAAUCUCAACAAAUGUGUCAGCUUUUCACAUUAAUGUCUAAUUAAUAUUGUGCUGGACACAAUAAACCACAUCAGUGUCUACUGUUAACUAUCAUAGCCAAGUGGCUAACAAAGGUAAACAGAAAUUUUCACUAUCCCUACUGAUGAAUGUUAUCUUGUUUCGGGAUACAUGCCAUACAUGACACCUGCUGUUAUCCAGUGACUCAUCUGUUUACAUUUAUCUUUUGCUCGUUUCUCCUCUUUUUUCUUUUUCUAAACUGAGCACCUGAUGGCUUUGACGUUUUCUUGUUCAUCUUCCGUUGGUGUUAAUUUUGCACUCAGUAUCAACACCCAUCCCCCACACCUUAACCUAGCACACCUACACCUUAGUGCACAGAUUCGGUUUGUAGAUUCUGGGAUUUCGCACAACCCAGUAGAGAAAAAUAAUUAAUACAUAAUGGGCUUGGAUUUACAACAUAAAUGGUUGUGUGUGAGCAGCAGCGGCAAGCCGCACCAAGGGGCCUCGCGCUCACUUUUCGCUUAUUUGUGUGUGAUAGAAUUUAGAAUUUGUUUUUUAUUUUAUUAUAUUUUGUUAGUAGCUGCCGCUCCAGCCCUGUGCAGCAAGCAGCAGGCGCACCUCGCAAAAGUAGGGCGCCGUUACUCCCAGCAAAUGGGCGAUAGAAAACCGAUCAGUGCUUGCGCUGGCAUGAUGUCGGGGCAGCAAUGAGUUUUGGCAACCCAGUCGAGGUCCGUUGGCUCUCAGACAUUAGUACAGAAAGCAUUACUUUUUUUCCUCUGGAGAAUCUUGCACUCAACCCGAUGUGUUUUUUUGUUGUUGGUUUUUUUCAAAAAUGUCGACCUAUCGUCGUCAUCAGGUUAUAUGCCACUUGACUGUAUGAGAAAUAUGUAGCUCAAUUAAUACUGGAUUCUUUGAAUUGUACAUAAAUAUUAAUUUUACUUGUGGCUGGUAUAAAUG
This is a long non-coding RNA of Oreochromis aureus, 2168 nucleotides long. RefSeq lists it as uncharacterized. The transcript has 3 exons. The record is from RefSeq and is a predicted model, not a curated record. Lineage: Eukaryota; Metazoa; Chordata; Actinopteri; Cichliformes; Cichlidae.